This 253-nucleotide ribosomal RNA is filed under the name uncultured bacterium. Its description in RNAcentral is "partial 16S ribosomal RNA". It matches the Rfam family "Bacterial small subunit ribosomal RNA", at positions 524 to 776 of the family's 1533-position model. The record is from RNAcentral.
UACGUAGGUGGCAAGCGUUACUCGGAAUUACUAGGCGUAAAGCGCAGGUAGGCGGUUGGGCAAGUCUGUAAUGAAAUCUCCCGGCUUAACUGGGAGAGGUUUGGAGAUACUGCCUGACUCGAGUGUGGGAGAGGUAACUGGAAUUCCUGGUGUAGCGGUGAAAUGCGUAGAGAUCAGGAGGAACACCUAAGGCGAAAGCAGGUUACUGGCCCAAUACUGACGCUGAGCUGCGAAAGCUAGGGGAGCAAACAGG